AAUCCUUUAGAGAUAGAGGAGUGCUCGAAAGAGAGCCGUAACACAGGUGCUGCAUGGCUGUCGUCAGCUCGUGUCGUGAGAUGUUGGGUUAAGUCCCGCAACGAGCGCAACCCUUGCCAUUAGUUGCUACGAAAGGGCACUCUAAUGGGACUGCCGGUGACAAACCGGAGGAAGGUGGGGAUGACGUCAAGUCCUCAUGGCCCUUAUAGGUGGGGCUACACACGUCAUACAAUGGCUGGUACAGAGGGUUGCCAACCCGCGAGGGGGAGCCAAUCCCAUAAAGCCAGUCGUAGUCCGGAUCGCAGUCUGCAACUCGACUGCGUGAAGUCGGAAUCGCUAGUAAUCGCGGAUCAGCAUGUCGCGGUGAAUACGUUCCCGGGUCUUGUACACACCGCCCGUCACACCAUGGGAGUGGGUUCUACCAGAAGUAGUUAGCCUAACCGUAAGGAGGG
This 452-nucleotide ribosomal RNA is filed under the name uncultured Acidovorax sp. RNAcentral describes it as "bacterial SSU rRNA". It matches the Rfam family "Bacterial small subunit ribosomal RNA", at positions 994 to 1450 of the family's 1533-position model. Lineage: Bacteria; Pseudomonadati; Pseudomonadota; Betaproteobacteria; Burkholderiales; Comamonadaceae. The record is from RNAcentral.